RNAcentral lists this ribosomal RNA (468 nucleotides) under uncultured bacterium. RNAcentral's name for it is "partial 16S ribosomal RNA". It matches the Rfam family "Bacterial small subunit ribosomal RNA", at positions 28 to 507 of the family's 1533-position model. The record is from RNAcentral.
GACGAACGCUGGCGGCGUGCUUAACACAUGCAAGUCGAACGGAACGUCCCUGCUUUUGUGGGCUGCUGGAGUGGCGACCGGGUGAGUAACACGUGAGUAACCUGCCCUUGACUUUGGGAUAUCUUCAGGAAACUGGGGCUAUUACCUGAUAGGAUCUCCUGCUUCAUGGUGGGGGUUGGUUAGUUUCGGCGGUUGGGGAUGGACUCGCGGCUUAUCAGCUUGUUGGUUGGGUAGUGGCUUACCAAGGCUUUGACGGGUAGCCGGCCUGGGAGGGUGACCGGACAAAAUAGGACUGAGAUACGGCCCAGACGAGAACGGGAGGGAGGGGAGGAGAAUAUAACACAAUAGGCGGAAGGCAGAUGUAGAAAAGCAGCGGGGGGGAAGACGGGCUGGGGGUUGGAAACCAAAUUCGCCUGAGACGAAACGAGAGUGACGGUAAUGGGUAAAGAAGCACCGGCUAACUACGUG